RNAcentral lists this ribosomal RNA (411 nucleotides) under uncultured Gammaproteobacteria bacterium. RNAcentral describes it as "bacterial SSU rRNA". It matches the Rfam family "Bacterial small subunit ribosomal RNA", at positions 9 to 416 of the family's 1533-position model. Lineage: Bacteria; Pseudomonadati; Pseudomonadota; Gammaproteobacteria. The record is from RNAcentral.
GAGUUUGAUCGUGGCUCAGAGUGAACGCUGGCGGCAGGCCUAACACAUGCAAGUCGAACGGCAGCACAGCAGUAGCAAUACUGUGGGUGGCGAGUGGCGGACGGGUGAGGAAUACAUGGGAAUCUACCCUGUCGUGGGGGAUAACGUAGGGAAACUUACGCUAAUACCGCAUACGACCGAGAGGUGAAAGCGGCGGACCGCAAGGCGUCGCGCGACUGGAUGAGCCCAUGUCGGAUUAGCUAGUUGGCGGGGUAAAGGCCCACCAAGGCGACGAUCCGUAGCUGGUCUGAGAGGAUGAUCAGCCACACUGGAACUGAGACACGGUCCAGACUCCUACGGGAGGCAGCAGUGGGGAAUAUUGGACAAUGGGCGCAAGCCUGAUCCAGCCAUGCCGCGUGAGUGAAGAAGGCC